Molecule: transfer RNA, 65 nt
Filed under: Andrena subopaca
Lineage: Eukaryota; Metazoa; Arthropoda; Insecta; Hymenoptera; Andrenidae
Also listed under: 1 other name
Description: tRNA-Leu
Rfam family: tRNA
About the family: Transfer RNA (tRNA) molecules are approximately 80 nucleotides in length. Their secondary structure includes four short double-helical elements and three loops (D, anti-codon, and T loops).
Source: RNAcentral
UUUAAUAUGGCAGAAUAGUGCAAUGGAUUUAAACCCCAUAUAUAAAAUUAAACUUUUUAUUAAAA